UACGUAGGGUGCGAGCGUUAAUCGGAAUUACUGGGCGUAAAGCGUGCGCAGGCGGUUUUGUAAGCCAGAUGUGAAAUCCCCGGGCUCAACCUGGGAAUGGCAGUGGAUACUGGCAAGCUAGAGUGUGUCAGAGGAUGGUGGAAUUCCCGGUGUAGCGGUGAAAUGCGUAGAGAUCGGGAGGAACAUCAGUGGCGAAGGCGGCCAUCUGGGACAACACUGACGCUGAGGCACGAAAGCGUGGGGAGCAAACAGG
This 253-nucleotide ribosomal RNA is filed under the name uncultured bacterium. Its description in RNAcentral is "partial 16S ribosomal RNA". It matches the Rfam family "Bacterial small subunit ribosomal RNA", at positions 524 to 776 of the family's 1533-position model. The record is from RNAcentral.